CACGUAGGGUGCGAGCGUUGUCCGGAAUUAUUGGGCGUAAAGAGCUCGUAGGCGGCUCGUCGCGUCGACCGUGAAAACCCGCGGCUUAACUGCGGGCUUGCGGUUGAUACGGGCGGGCUAGAGUUCGGUAGGGGAGACUGGAAUUCCUGGUGUAGCGGUGAAAUGCGCAGAUAUCAGGAGGAACACCGGAGGCGAAGGCGGGUCUCUGGGCCGAUACUGACGCUGAGGAGCGAAAGCGUGGGGAGCGAACAGG
This 253-nucleotide ribosomal RNA is filed under the name uncultured bacterium. Its description in RNAcentral is "partial 16S ribosomal RNA". It matches the Rfam family "Bacterial small subunit ribosomal RNA", at positions 524 to 776 of the family's 1533-position model. The record is from RNAcentral.